RNAcentral lists this ribosomal RNA (331 nucleotides) under uncultured bacterium. RNAcentral's name for it is "bacterial SSU rRNA". It matches the Rfam family "Bacterial small subunit ribosomal RNA", at positions 8 to 334 of the family's 1533-position model. The record is from RNAcentral.
AGGGUUCGAUCAUGGCUCAGGACGAACGCUGGCGGCGCGCCUAACACAUGCAAGUCGAACGAGCGAGAGGAGGUUUACUUUCUCAAGCGAGUGGCGAACGGGUGAGUAACGCGUGAGGAACCUGCCUCAAAGAGGGGGACAACAGUUGGAAACGACUGCUAAUACCGCAUAAGCCCACGACCCGGCAUCGGGUAGAGGGAAAAGGAGCAAUCCGCUUUGAGAUGGCCUCGCGUCCGAUUAGCUAGUUGGUGAGGUAAUGGCCCACCAAGGCGACGAUCGGUAGCCGGACUGAGAGGUUGAACGGCCACAUUGGGACUGAGACACGGCCCAG